Molecule: long non-coding RNA, 571 nt
Organism: Astatotilapia calliptera (eastern happy)
Lineage: Eukaryota; Metazoa; Chordata; Actinopteri; Cichliformes; Cichlidae
Source: Ensembl
CAAGGGAUCUUAUAUCUGUUUUCACUCUUGUAUGCUUUUCAUACAAGUUUCACACAAGACAGAUACAAACUUUAUAAGAUUUAUAUAUAUCUUUUCCAUAUGGGUAGAGCCGGCUCCUUGAAGUGAAUAACGGAAGCCGGCUCCUUAUUGGGAGCCAUGUGUUUUUUUUCUUUCUCUCACCCUCUCUCUUUCUUUUUUUUUACUUCACGCCGCUUGUGAUUGGCCAAUAUGUGUUUGUGCCUUGUGUUUGCGCUGAGCAGAGGGGGAAGGGGUGGUAGUUACACUCACAGCAGCAGUAGCACAUGAACAGUGCAGGAGGAAGAGAGAGAAAGAGAGCCAGGGGCAACAACAAGAGUCAACAUUGACACGUUAGAAAGAGUCGCGGGAGCACUGGAGCCUGUGCCAGCUGUCUUAGGCGCUACAUCCAGAUGAACAGAAUCAACGUCUUGGGAUAAAGAAGUGACAGGAGAAGCAGCCUUCAGCCAUACCAGCCCAGCGCUGCUCCUGACGAAGGAAAGACCAAUUCUGCAGGGGAGACCUACCUUGGCACUUGUGCAGGUGAAACCAAAGG